CCACCGGUCAUUGGGGAGUAGCCGCCUUCCAUUGCGAGAAGGGUGUGCGUCAACAGACUUGUCCGGCUUCGUGCGGGACAUGGCGCAGACAGUGUUCCACCUGGCGAGACCUUUGACCGUGCAACUUCGGGUGUGGCCGAAGGUGUUGCACGGUCAAUUGCGUUCUCUUCGGCCCAAGGAAU
This 182-nucleotide small RNA is filed under the name Variovorax sp. RNAcentral's name for it is "Manganese sequence". It matches the Rfam family "Manganese Mn2+ riboswitch aptamer (yybP-ykoY)". Rfam says of the family: This RNA was originally discovered in E. coli during a large scale screen and was named SraF. Lineage: Bacteria; Pseudomonadati; Pseudomonadota; Betaproteobacteria; Burkholderiales; Comamonadaceae. The record is from RNAcentral.